Molecule: long non-coding RNA, 4418 nt
Filed under: Nicotiana tabacum (common tobacco)
Lineage: Eukaryota; Viridiplantae; Streptophyta; Magnoliopsida; Solanales; Solanaceae
Description: long non-coding RNA (NTAB_LNC015782)
Source: RNAcentral
AAUUUUAGCCCAACAGGUUCCGACUGAAAGAGUUUGGAUGGAUCUAAACUUAUCCCCGCGAGCGAACGAGGAGCGAGGAAAUAAUUUCUCUCAUACUUUACAUAAUCCACAAGACGACUGGUAAACUUUAAUUUUCCUUUUUGUUACGAUGUUUAUUUUUUGUUGAAUUGAAUUUGUAUUAACACUCAUAUAUUCCACAGGGGGUACCGUCCGGAUAUGAAUUUUACAAGUUAUGACCCCACGCCCAAUUAGAAUAUGCGUAGUUUUGGCAUGGUCCAUCUGGGAGUCAUCACCAACAGGAAAAUGUCCAUCAUGGAAUGUUAACACAAUACGACUUGUAAGUGAAGUGAUAUAGCUAUAUAUAAAGUAUUUAUCAAUUUGAGUAGAUUAUCAUUUUGUUCUUUUUGUGUAGUGAAAACGAGCAACUUGAUGGUCCUGACCUUACUCAGUUGCCCGUAGAUGAUGUAUUUACUCGUGAUUAGGCAUAUGCUCAGAAUCAGAAAGAUAAUAGUGAUUAUGACAACAAUGCUGAUGAGUCUGGAGAUGAGAUACCCUCCCUGACGAGGGUGAUGAUGAGGAGGAAGUGAAUGUCGAACCUAAGCUGACGAGGGAGCAUGCUCCCCCAUCCCAUUAGACCAAGAGUGUACGAGUCCCACGUGCCGUUUCAUGAGCGGAAUAUUCCCUACCUUGAUAAUUUUCCAAGUAUGCCGGAUGUGGAUGCCCUCACAAGGGAUCUUGACGAAAUUUGAUUAGCAAUGUGGGACGAGUCCAGACCAACGGUGCUGGCAAAGGGCAUGUAUUUUCCUGAUAAAGCACGCUUAUCCAGGGCUUGUAAAAUGUACAACGUAAGAGAGUGUCGUGAGAUGACAGUAAGUGAGUCAACUCUGGAGGUAUACAAGGCUGUAUGUCGUAGAUACUUUAUGGGUUGCAACUGGAUAUUGCGUGUGAGCAAGAAGGAAACAGGGUUGUGAAAAGUGGGUAAAUAUAUUGGCACCCACGUUUGUGAAAUGAACACUUUCAAUGAGAAUCACUUCAACUUGGAUGUUGACUUGAUUUCACACUUGGAAGUGUCCAUUAGGUAAAAGAUCAAAGAGUGUAUUGCAUCUGUCCACCAGGAAUAUGGGUGUACUAUAACCAAAAGAAAUGCAUAUCUCGGGCGCAAACGUGCAUUUGAAACUAUUUAUGGUGACUGGGAUAAGUCAUUUUCAUCUCUAAAUAGGUACAUGGCCGCACUGAAACACUUUAACCCUUGGACUGUUAUUAAAUGGAAGCAUGAGCAGAGUCCAGGAAUACCAGAAUAUAUAUUCAGAUACGUGUUCUGGGCAUUUAAACUAGCAAUUGAUGGUUUUGUGCAUUGCCGUCCGGUAAUUUUCAUAGACGGUAUUCAUGUCUAUGGAAAGUAUGAUAUUAAGAUGUUGAUCGUUGUUGCAGUAGAUGCCAAUGGAUGAAUAAAUCCACUAGCUUUUGCCAUUUGUGCUAAUGAAAGCGAAGUGAUGUGGACGCUAUUUUUGAACCACUUGAAGCAUCGCGUUUUCAAAUAGCGUUCAGGCAUUUGUCUAAUAUCUGAUCGGUAUGGUGGUAUUUUAAGUUUUGUACGGGAUUUUCCUGAAUGGCAGGAACCUUAUGCAUACCACCGUUACUGUGUGAGACACCUAAAGGCCAAUUUCCAGAAGAAAUAUCCCAACAAGGUCUUGCAUGAUUUAAUGUGGAUGGCUGCAACUGAGCACCAGCACUGCAAAUUCAGGAGGCACAUGUAAUUAAUCCGACAGUUAAAGGAAAAAGCAUAUAAUUGGUUGAUGGGACAUGAGCUUCACAAGUGGACAUUGCAUGCUGAUGGUGGCAGACGAUGGGAAACCCUGACUACAAAUGUGUUGGAGUCAUUCAACGGGCUAUUGAAGUUUGCACGUGUAUUGCCUGUCACUGCCAUGGUCCGAAUGACAUUCAAACGGAUGGCGGAGAGGUUUGUUGAAAGGCAUAGAGCUGCAUCGGAAUUGAUGGACAUGGGUGUUGAAUUUACGCCAAUACCGAUAAGAAGAUUUGAUAAAUACAGGAGGCGAGCACAUUGGCAUUCAUAUUUACAGUAUGAUCACAACCGAGGUAUUUUUGAAGUUUGCACCACUAUCCGCUGACACCAAAGGAAUAAUCUACACACCGUGAAUAAAGCCAGCAAGUUGUAUUCAUGUGGGAAAUGGACCAUCUACCACAUGUCGUGCGCACAUGCCAUGAAGUGCUUUCAACAAGUUGGUUUAGGGGCAACCAACUAUAUUGAUAGGCAAUACAGUGUUGAUGCAUACGUAAACACAUAUAGUGGGCAGUUGCAGCCAUUGGAUUCUGAGCAUUAUUGGCCGUCGAAACCAUUUAAAAUGCUGUGUAACAAGGACUAUUUGCGCAAGCUUCAAGUGCAAAAGAGAAUGCGUAUACGGAACCAAAUGGAUGUUGGUGAUACCAUUUAUGCGCGUAAAUGUGGCAUAUACUCGCAAACAGGAUACGACCGUCGUAAAUGUCCUUCACCUGGUUUGGGUGGUGGUGGUAAUCCAACUCCUAGUACAAGUUCGUCUAAUGUACCCAACUAUCAAGGAUACACCUAGUGUUUUGUUUUCGUAAUAUUUUUUGUAAUAGGUGUCUGUACUUAUUUAUAUUGCAAGAUGUAUUAAAAUUAUGUUCCACGGCCUUGUUACAUCUUAUUAUCUAAAAUUAUAACCUUUUAAAUUGGGAUGAUGAUAUGAUAGUUCCAACAUUCAACUUAUUGGUGUUAGUAAAGAAGACCAAUAUGAAUAUUGAAAUUUCAUAACAUAACACUUCAAGAGAAAAAAGCACAACAACCAUAACUAAAACAAUAUUUAUGAAAAUAAAAGAUAAUAAAAGGAUAAAUCAAGACAAACACAUCCUAGUACCAGGUGAAAAAUGAAUUGGUACAAACAGGAUAUAUGCCUCCCUUCACGUCCACAUUGAAGAUAACACGCAUUGGUGAAACAUCAACCAACGUAAAUUUGACAACAAAACCUCGACUGAAAAAAUCUCCAACACAAAAUGUCUCCAGCCUACCUUGAACCUUCUUUGAUCACCAACACUCAUAUUUACAUACCACUCUUUGCCACGAUGGUGAAGAUACGCGUGUUCUAAUGUAGGAGGAAGAUGCUUACAGAUUUUUCUUGGAAUAUACUUUAAAAAAAAUAUUACUAUUAAGUUACGAAAAAUAUGAAACUGAAUAAAGAUAUACAAUACUGAUGUAUAUAUAUUUUCUGGAGUUAAGUUAUAACAAAUAAAAGUAUUUUGUGUUAAAGAAAUAAAGUUUAAUGGACAUAAUAAUUUACCAGAUCGUUGUCGUCGAUGCAUGAAUCAGUCAUAAUGUUGGAGAUUCUCUUCUUUAUUAUCACUGCUAGUAGAAGAGUAAUCAUCACUGCUAGUAGAAGAGUAAGAUAGGGCUCGUUUGGUAGAGGAAGAGUCAUCCAUAGUUUAGGGUUUGAGUAUAUUAGUGUGUUUUAUGUUUUGAGUAUGUGACUGUAUAUAUAGGGACACGCAUAGAAUAUCACGAUUAAAUACUACAUUUUGUGUGAAUAUAUAUAGCGCAAUUGAAUGCUAUAUUUUGUGUGUUGUCUUGUCGGUCUGAAAAGCCGACCGACUGCGAAAAAGCCGUUUCGUUUUAGAAAAAGUCAAUAUGUAUAGCGUGGUUAAAUACUACAUUUUGUGUAUUGUCUUGUUAGUCUGAAAAGCUGACCGACUGCAAAAAAACUAUUUUGUUUCAAAAAAAAGUUAAUAUGUAUAGCGCGAUUAAAUACUACGUUUUGUGUGUUGUCUUGUCGGUCUGAAAAGCUGACCGACUGCAAAAAAGCUGUUUCAUUUCAAAAAAAGUUAAUAUUUAUAGCGCAGUUAAAUACUACAUUUUGUGUGUUGUCUUAUCGUUCUAAAAAAACAAAACAUAUUGACUUUUUUUCGUGUAAAGAUGACUUGAGGUGGGAAUUGCCGCAGCAGAAAAAGAAUUUGGGACAGUGAACACCCAUUUGACAAUGCAAAAUGAAAACAACAAAUUCUACGAGAUUUCUUGGAAUAACUUUAGAACCUUUUCAAGUAUUAGCAGAACAGAAGGGGGGCAAAAUGUAGACUAAAAAAGUCUUUUUUCUUUCUAUAUAGUACUAGCUCUUUCUUGGGGACAAAGAUAAUUACUAUGUGGGUAUACAAAGAAAGGAUAUUUUGUUUACCUAUGCAAAUUCUGUUUGUUUGGUCCUUUGAAGAACAUAUAGAAAGGUGGAGUUUAUAUGGUUGAAUGAUGAAGAAGCAGUGAUUUUCAUGUGUCUUAUCGUUCUAGUUAUUUCUGCGCUUAACAAUAAUCAAUAGCAAAUAUUUCCAUAAAAGCAAGAUCUUGUUUUACGCUUUAACAAAUGUUUGAACCCCUUUAUGUACCAAGGUGCGAGUGCGGC